This 1770-nucleotide ribosomal RNA is filed under the name Triticum aestivum (bread wheat). Its description in RNAcentral is "partial small subunit ribosomal RNA". The record is from RNAcentral. Lineage: Eukaryota; Viridiplantae; Streptophyta; Magnoliopsida; Poales; Poaceae.
AUGGACCUCGACCUCGCCCUGCAAGAGACCCGCCUGGCCGUCGCCGGCGAGGACUUCGCCUUCACCACCACCGAGACCGACGACGCCUUCCUCGUCCUCGCCCACCUCCCAGGGUAUGACAAGGAUGCGAUCGAGGUCCGCGUCGGCGACGGCGGCAGGGAGAUCCGCGUCGACGUGGGCGCGCGGAAGGACGGUGCCGGGCUCGCCGUGGAGGCAGAGCGUGCCGGGACGCGGCUGCGGGUGGCGCACCGGCGGGCGGUGGAGGGUUUCCGCCGAGUGUUCGACGUGCCGGCCGGCGCCGACGUGGGCCGGGUCUCCGUCGGGUUCGAGGAGGACGACGAGCUGCUCGUCAUCAUCAUGCCCAAGCUGCGGCAGCUGCAGGCCUCCCCGCCGGACGACGAGGCACGCGUCGACGUCGAGAGCACGGACUACGAGUGCGCGUCGUCGGACGGGACGGAGGUGGAGCUCGACGACGGGUGGUCGUCGGCUAGCCUCGAGCUGGAGCAGGAGGAGUGGGUCGACGUCGACGGCGAUUCGUCGGGGUCCGAGCCCGAGCCGCCUCGAGACUUGCCGGUGGAGACGCCCGUGGAGGUACAGGAGGACGUGCCCGUGGAGACGCUCGUGGAGAUUCAUGGGCCAGAUCCCAUAAUCACGGACGUGGCGGUGGAGACGCCGGUGGAGGUCGAGGAGGAGGAAGAGCCUCCGGUGCUCGACAUCGAGUGUGACGUCGUGUUCGACGUCCCGGUGUGCACUGAGCUGCCGGUGGAGACGCCGAUCGAAGUGCUCGGGUCCGACCUACCGGCUGACGACGUGGAAGAGCCGGCGGUCGACAUCCCGUGCGACGUAGAGUUCGAGCCGGAGCCCCGGCAGCCACCGGUCGAGACACCACCCGACGUCAUCGAGGAGCCCAAACCACCACCUGCCGUAGACCCACCCGCCGAAGAGCCAUCGGUUGAGGAGCCACCGCCCACCGAGGAGCCUCCGGAGCCGGUCGACCCACCAGUGGAACCGCCACCCACCGAAGAGCCACUGGUGGACCCACCACCGGUUGAGGAGCCACCACCCGUGGAACCGCCACCUAUGGAGGAGCCGCCAGUGGACCCACCACCAGCUGAGGAGCCACCACCCAUGGAACCACUACCUAUGGAGGAGCCGCCGAUGGACCCACCACCGGUUGAAGAGCCACCACCCGCUGAGGAUCCUCCGACGCCGGUGGACCCGCCCGUGGAACCGCCACCAAUGGAGGAGCCACCGGUGGACCCACCACUGGUUGAGGAGCCACCACCUGCUGAGGACCCUCCGGUGCCGGUCGACCCACCCAUGGAGGAGCCACCCGCCAAAGAGCCGCCGAUGGACCCACCACCAGUUGAGGAGCCACCACCCGCCGAGGAUCCUCCAGCAGCGGUCGACCCGCCCAUGAAACCGCCACCCAUGGAGGAGCCACUACCGGUUGAGGAGCCACGCCACGUGGAACCGCCGCCCGUGCAGGAGCCACAACCCGCGGCCCCAACACCAGUCCAGGAGCCACCUAGUGCACCAGCAGAGGCAAAAUCAUCUGAUGGCAGCGACGAAUCGGAUGGUAGCACUGAUGGUGAGGAGAACGGCGACCGGGGCGGCCGCAAGGGCAAGCGACGCAGUGGCGGGAAAGGACGACGGAGGCGCAGGCGGCGUGGCAGGUUCCCGUUCGGCAUGGUGGUUGCUCCUGCCGUGAUCUUGCUCGCUCUCGCAGUGCUCGCGGCCAAGAGACGGCGGCAACAGGGCGGGGGUUGA